Molecule: ribosomal RNA, 500 nt
Filed under: uncultured bacterium
Lineage: Bacteria
Description: partial 16S ribosomal RNA
Rfam family: Bacterial small subunit ribosomal RNA
Source: RNAcentral
AUUGAACGCUGGCGUCAUGCCUUACACAUGCAAGUCGAACGGCAGCACGGGAGCAAUCCUGGUGGCGAGUGGCGAACGGGUGAGUAAAGUAUCGGAACGUGCCCAGUCGUGGGGGAUAACGUAGCGAAAGUUACGCUAAUACCGCAUACGAUCUAUGGAUGAAAGCGGGGGAUCGCAAGACCUCGCGCGAUUGGAGCGGCCGAUAUCAGAUUAGGUAGUUGGUGGGGUAAAGGCUCACCAAGCCGACGAUCUGUAGCUGGUCUGAGAGGACGACCAGCCACGCUGGGACUGAGACACGGCCCAGACUCCUACGGGAGGCAGCAGUGGGGAAUUUUGGACAAUGGGCGCAAGCCUGAUCCAGCCAUGCCGCGUGCAGGAUGAAGGCCUUCGGGUUGUAAACUGCUUUUGUACGGAACGAAAAGGUUUGGCUUAAUACGUUGAACUCAUGACGGUACCGUAAGAAUAAGCACCGGCUAACUACGUGCCAGCCGCCGCAGUAA